UGACCGCCCUUCCCACCCGGAAGGUGCCAAGGCCAUACGGACAGCCGGGUCAAAUGCCG
RNAcentral lists this small RNA (59 nucleotides) under uncultured Agathobaculum sp. Its description in RNAcentral is "Streptococcus sRNA SpF59 (ldcC RNA)". It matches the Rfam family "Streptococcus sRNA SpF59 (ldcC RNA)". The record is from RNAcentral. Lineage: Bacteria; Bacillati; Bacillota; Clostridia; Eubacteriales; Butyricicoccaceae.